CCUACGGGUGGCUGCAGUGGGGAAUAUUGGACAAUGGGGGGAACCCUGAUCCAGCCAUGCCGCGGGGGUGAAGAAGGCCCUCGGGUUGUAAAGCACUUUCAGUGAGGAAGAACGCCUGGUGGUUAAUACCCAUCAGGAAAGACAUCACUCACAGAAGAAGCACCGGCUAACUCCGUGCCAGCAGCCGCGGUAAUACGGAGGGUGCGAGCGUUAAUCGGAAUUACUGGGCGUAAAGCGCGCGUAGGUGGCUUGAUAAGCCGGUUGUGAAAGCCCCGGGCUCAACCUGGGAACGGCAUCCGGAACUGUCAAGCUAGAGUGCAGGAGAGGAAGGUAGAAUUCCCGGUGUAGCGGUGAAAUGCGUAGAGAUCGGGAGGAAUACCAGUGGCGAAGGCGGCCUUCUGGACUGACACUGACACUGAGGUGCGAAAGCGUGGGUAGCAAACAGGAUUAGAUACCCCAGUAGUC
This 465-nucleotide ribosomal RNA is filed under the name Vreelandella stevensii. RNAcentral's name for it is "partial 16S ribosomal RNA". It matches the Rfam family "Bacterial small subunit ribosomal RNA", at positions 338 to 795 of the family's 1533-position model. Lineage: Bacteria; Pseudomonadati; Pseudomonadota; Gammaproteobacteria; Oceanospirillales; Halomonadaceae. The record is from RNAcentral.